This is a long non-coding RNA of Triticum aestivum (bread wheat), 2189 nucleotides long. RefSeq lists it as uncharacterized. Lineage: Eukaryota; Viridiplantae; Streptophyta; Magnoliopsida; Poales; Poaceae. The record is from RefSeq and is a predicted model, not a curated record. The transcript has 2 exons.
ACGAGCGCCCGCCCCUCCCCGCGCGCCUCCCCUCCGACCAGCGCCCGCCCCUCCCCGUGCGCCUCCCCUCUGACGGGCACCGGCCCCUGCCCGCACGCCUCCCCUCCGACGGGCGCCGGGCCCUUCCCGCGCGCCUCCCCUCCGAUGGGCGCCGGGCCCUUCCAGCGUGCCUUCCCGCCGAGGGUUGUUGGCCUCUCCCACUCUGCCUCCUCUCCAAUGGUGCCACGACGCCACCUUGUACAGGCAGCUCAUCGCCACACCCCUGUCCGUUCAAUGUCGCCGCCAACGCGUACAGGCAGUUCGCCGCCGCCAUCCCUGUCCGUUCAAUGUCCCCGCCACUGCGUACAAGCAGUUCGCAGCCGCCAUCCCUGUCCGUUCAAUGUCGCCGCCGUGGACGCGUCCUGCUCCAAGGCCAUGGCUUAUGCUUCAGCGGCAAAAAGUGGAGCCUGCUGGAGGAAUCGCGGGGUCGAGGACCUCCAGCUCAACAGUCCAACUGCUUCCUUUAUGGCCGGUCGCUCAAGGAGCUGAGUGCAAGCCGCUCCUUGCUGCAAGCUGCUGCUGCACCUAGGACUGCCCGACACAGUCGCAUCCUUUUCUGCUGCUGCUGAUGCAUGUCCACUACUAAGCAGCUACCAAUUGCUGCUAUUGUUACCUCUAUUUUCUAUCUGAAGUUUAGUUUAGUGCGGUGACUAGCAAAGGUACAGAGGUACUGAAGGUUGAUUUGAGCAUAACCCUUACUCUCUGAAAAUUUGGCAAUAGUUCGAUGAAAUGGUUUACCUCAGUACAAAAGUAUGGGUACCCAACCAAUUUUUGAACAAUGUGUCUACUUUCUGCAGGUCCUUGUUGGGAUGACAGGGAUGACUAGAAUGCUCAGAGAAACAUCUUUACUUGACCCAGAUCUUUCAUUGCUUGUCUUCAGUCACCUAAAUAAGUUCAAGAAAAAUCUGUAAGUUUGGUGCGUGUGCUGCUACAAAUCUAAACUUCUUAUCCAGUAAUUCUAGUACUUAUGAGCAUCGAGUUGAUUGAAAUCAUGUUCUCCUAGUUGGUUUCUGAGAACCUUGCUGGCCCUUCUAUAUAUAGAAGUUGUGCCUGAUAGCCAUACAUGACUUUUGUGUAUGACAAAUAAUGCAAGGAAAUUCUGAAUACAUGGCACGGGCGCUCUUCGACAUUAAACAUUUGUAUGUUAUUUAUUUGUGCAACAAGUCUAUGCUUCUUCAGUUCUAAAAUUCCCAGAGCAUCAGUGCAACUACAUAUCAGGCUAUACUAUGUUGAUUCUAUAAUUUUCCGUAUGCUGGUAUAUACAAAAAUAAGGUAUAUUUACUGCUUCAUUUUCUUGUGGAGCGAAUGUUGUAUAUUUACUACUUCAUUUUCUUUGCCGCCACUUAGGUCCGACGAGCCACCGUAGGCAGGAUCCUCUGCGUGCUAGCCUUGGUGCUGGCCCUACACGUUGGCACGACAUCGUUCACUGAUUCCACCAAGGGCUGUUCAAUGACACAAUGUCGAGUCGUUCGACACUGCAGCUCAGGAGUUUGCCUCCUUUCCUAACCUCCACUAUGCUCUAGCUAAGGUCUCUCAUGUUCUCCUCUCUCCCAUAACCUUUGUCUGUUCUUUCACUUGAAUUCCUGCUAAUGUUAGCUGUAGCUUGAAUUGCUAAAAUAUUAAUGUAUUUUUACUCUGCUUGAAAAUGCUUGAAAUGCUGCUGAUGCUUCUCUAUGCGUGACGAUUCUGAUUGUUUAGCACAAAGGGGGACGGGUACUUGUUGUAAUGCUUGACAUCAAUCUAUUGUCGGCAGUUAGAGAAAGAAUUGUAGCAAGUCCAAGCUCUCUUUGAGUGGAGAAUAAAAACAUGAUGUAUGCAUUGCUUCUUGGCCCAGCUGAGAGAACACUCAUGUUAAAAAGUAGAAAGCAGUUUUGAAGCAAUUCCCAGUGUCUUUAGAAGCAUUCAUGGUUAAAAAGCAACGACGACAACCUCCUCAUUCGAGCUGAGCACUGGUCAUAGUCCAAGUUGAGCAGUAGGUGCCGUCCAAGUUUAAAGAGGGUUGUAUGCAAGUACAGAAGUUUGUUUGAGUGAGAAAAAAUGUGGGGUUUUGACAAUAUUCUAUAUGAUUAAUUUUUUCAUCCUUAGAACUUGGCAAAAUUCAGUCUAUUUUUCUAUGAUGGAGGCACACAUGAAGUCCUGUGCAAUGGUUA